Molecule: ribosomal RNA, 432 nt
Filed under: Vigna racemosa var. racemosa
Lineage: Eukaryota; Viridiplantae; Streptophyta; Magnoliopsida; Fabales; Fabaceae
Description: eukaryotic LSU rRNA
Rfam family: Eukaryotic large subunit ribosomal RNA (bases 281-432)
Source: RNAcentral
ACUCGAGUCUUUGACGCAAGUUGCGCCCGAAGCCAUUAGGUUGAGGGCACGCCUGCCUGGGUGUCACAUAACGUCACCCCCCCACGUAAAUCGUUUAUCGGGGUGAAGGUUGGCUUCCUGCGAGAGCAAGUCCUCGUGGUUGGUCGAAAACUCAAGUAACGGUAGAGGCCCCUGCAAUAAAUGGUGGAUGAGAAGCUCUCGAUACCAAUUGUGGUUGUGGUAGUUUGCCAGAUGUAAUGAUUUGACCCUGUUGUUGUUGAUCCAAAGGACGUACUUACCGAGACCUCAGGUCAGGCGGGGUUACCCGCUGAGUUUAAGCAUAUCAAUAAGCGGAGGAAAAGAAACUAACAAGGAUUCCCCUAGUAACGGCGAGCGAACCGGGAACAGCCCACCAUGAGAAUCGAUUGCCUUUGGUUUUCGAAUUGUAGUCCA